UGAAGACGGGGAACAGGCAGAGCAUGGAUGGAGCUACUAACAGAAGUACUUGUUUUGGCUCUACCCAUGCACUGCCUCUUCCCUGGCUUGU
RNAcentral lists this unclassified non-coding RNA (91 nucleotides) under Populus trichocarpa (black cottonwood). RNAcentral's name for it is "precursor microRNA ptr-MIR408". It matches the Rfam family "MIR408 microRNA precursor family", at positions 17 to 109 of the family's 126-position model. Lineage: Eukaryota; Viridiplantae; Streptophyta; Magnoliopsida; Malpighiales; Salicaceae. The record is from RNAcentral.